AAAACACUGGCAAGGCUAUCCGGAGGAUAUUGCACACGAGUUGGUAGUUUAUGUGUCCAUGUAUUUUGAACAGACUCAUCUGCAGGAGAAAAAACACAUAUUAAAUACACAAUUUUUUAAUGUUUGUAGUGACAACGCCAUGUUUUGUGAUUCUUGGAAUUGCCAAAAGUUUCCUUUUCUCAUUCCAUCUAGGCUUCUUACAAGUUUACUUUUUUCACUAGUCUGCUAAAAUCUCACAGCACUGUCUCAGGGCUGGUCUACACAUUAUCAUGUGGAGGAAGAUGGAAGCAAACUCCACCUGAUGGUUCCUUCAUGCCACUGCUGCCAUUAUGUGUGUGCAACACAGUGCAUUGUAUCAUUUUGGGUUUUUUUGCACCAGGUAGAAUGUUUCCACACCAGCCUCACACCAUACCAUAAAUAUGUCACAGAAGAUGUAACAACUAUAACAAUGGCCAUUGCUAUGUAGGUAUAGCAUUUCUUCUGCCAUUAUUGCUGAUUGUGCUAGUCCAUUAGGACUAGCAGCAACCCUCACGGGGGCCGGCAUAUACCCUGUCAAUAUUGAAAGUGUCAGGUGCACUGAUUCAGCACAUCUGUCACUUGCAAAUAUGCUACCAUCACUACAGGAGGCAACCAUUUGUAUGUGCUCUUGUUUGGUGCUAAUCUGAUUCAAACAUAUCUGUCCUAUUCAAACCCUUUGAAUUGGAACAGCCCCAAAGUCUUUGUGCCCCCAUGCUUGUAUGAAUUGUCAGUGCUGGGGUACUAAUAGGAUAAAACAUCACCUUUUCCAUAAAUUUUUGAGUUAGGUGCCUUCCCUUCCAAAAAUUAAUGCAUGCUGUGUGCUAUCAUUAUGGUCUUGGUUUCUAGGAACACCAUUUCACAUUUUGCAGAAGGAGACAAAGUUCAUCAAGGUUCAGGAGCUAGCUUGUAGAUUCUUCAAGGUACGUUGUGAAAAGGCAGUCAAUGGGUCAUUCCAUAUACACUGGCUGACAUGUUCCCACAACAUUAGAAGGGCAGAACAGGCGCUCCAUCCUUGCAAAAGGCUGCUUUGGAGCUCAGCCAGAGCGUUGCCAAGCAGCACAGAGUGGGAGGGGAACAUUUUUGCUGAUCUCCUCUCCUUCUAAAAGUGCUACUUGGCUGCCAGGAACAUGCCCCUGUGGGUUGCGCAGCCCCUAUUCGGCCCAUUUAACACAACAGAACAGGUAAGCCAUUAUGUUUUUUUAAGGAAAACAUCUAUUUUUGUUAAAGUAUACACUUAAUAUAAUAUGUACAUAAAAUAAAUAUUAUUUGGAUACAUAUUUAUCAUACCUCCAGUGAGCCUUAUUAGGCUGCAGCUGCCUGGAGUCUAUAUUUGUUUGGGUUUGCUGCUAUGUAAUUUAUUUUAGAAACACAUUUUAGGAUUAUUUUGUAUAGGAUACUAACAAUUGUGUGUGAAGCAUUUCUUUGUAGUAUCACUUCAGGAGUCCUUCUGAAGAAUGGGGUGGAAGAAUAUUAAUAUAAUAGUAAUACUUCAAAUAAAUUGCAAAAUAUCCAUAUCAAUCAAGACAUAUAGGGGGAGUAUACACUUCUACUGUCCACAGUAAUAAGAAAAACAACAACGUAACAAUAACUUGCCUAAGUCAGUUACUCUGUCUCGUGCCCAUUUCACCCAAAAAUCUUCUGAACUAACGGACAUAAACCAGGCAUCCAUAAGAUUCACGGAAAAUACACUACUCCAGAUUCCUGUGACAAAUGAAAAAUAAUUUAUUUAUAUACUGCCUUUCACACACAAAAAGCCUCAAGGCAGUGGACAACGUUCUUUAAAACAGAAAAAAGAUAGAGUGAUUUGAACAAGUAAUCAAAGAACAAGAAAACCACAGACACCUAAUUCUAAGAAUCACCAAUCAUAUCUGCUUCUGAAAUUCUGUCAGAUUAACCACAUCUUGACCAGCUGGUAAAGAGCCACAAUAGGCAAUUAAACAGGAGUUUUUUUUGUAAAGCUUUAAAAACCUUUUCAAUGAGAAGUGAUCCGCUUCUUGUGGGUCACUAAUAAAAACAUUUUGUUUAAGAACAAUAAUUGAAUUGCUGGAGAUGCUUGUCAGGCAGCAUAGUGCCUACUCACAAUAACAGUCCAAAGUUUCAAUCCUGAGUUGAAACUAAGUAAUUUGCCACAUAUUUCUGCAUCUGUGGAGAAAGUUACUGUAAUUGAUUGCUGCACUCAUGAGGCUAGUGGCAUUGUCAGUGUACGUGCACAUGAUAAUAAAUAUUGUAUUAAAUUACCUUCCAAGAAGCAGAUCCGUGAUUCUUGUUUUUUCUUCAUCAAAUGACCCAUGAAGAAUUCACUACCAAAAUGCUCAGCACGAAUGUAGGCUCCAUAUUUUUGGAAUCCCACUUCAUAGGGUGUGAAAUCCAACCAUUCUGUGAAGGAGGCCACAAGAGAGAAACGGCACAAUGUUUCACAGCAGGGUCAGCAGGAGUAAAUGGAAGGACAGGACCAUUGUGUGGAGUGGAGUUGUAGUGCAAAGAAUGAAGGAUACAAAUUCUGGAAAUGAAGGUCCUUCUACCCCCUCAAAAAACAAGACUAAUUUGAGGUGAACUGACAAAAGAAGAAAAAAGAAAGCCAUUUGUUAAGAAGUUUAGAAAAGAGUGGUUGGAACUGCCUCAGUUUAGUGGGGAAAGUAAUACUACAGCAUUGUGCAGAGCAUGUGAUAUAAUAAAAUGUGGGAAAAGUGAUUUUGAAAACAUGCUAAAACUGCAAAGCAUAAGAAUGCAGCUUCAUUAUUCAGCUUUUUGCUGAGUAAAAAUCUUCUCUCCAGACCUUUUUUAUUCUG
Hemicordylus capensis (graceful crag lizard) is the source of this 2807-nucleotide long non-coding RNA. RefSeq lists it as uncharacterized. The transcript is spliced from 3 exons. NCBI's taxonomy places the organism in Eukaryota, Metazoa, Chordata, Lepidosauria, Squamata, Cordylidae. The record is from RefSeq and is a predicted model, not a curated record.